AUUGAACGCUGGCGGCAGGCCUAACACAUACAAGUCGAGCGGAUGAAGGGAGCUUGCUCCUGGAUUCAGCGGCGGACGGGUGAGUAAUGCCUAGGAAUCUGCCUGGUAGUGGGGGAUAACGUCCGGAAACGGGCGCUAAUACCGCAUACGUCCUGAGGGAGAAAGUGGGGGAUCUUCGGACCUCACGCUAUCAGAUGAGCCUAGGUCGGAUUAGCUAGUUGGUGGGGUAAAGGCCUACCAAGGCGACGAUCCGUAACUGGUCUGAGAGGAUGAUCAGUCACACUGGAACUGAGACACGGUCCAGACUCCUACGGGAGGCAGCAGUGGGGAAUAUUGGGCAAUGGGCGAAAGCCUGAUCCAGCCAUGCCGCGUGUGUGAAGAAGGUCUUCGGAUUGUAAAGCACUUUAAGUUGGGAGGAAGGGCAGUAAGUUAAUACCUUGCUGUUUUGACGUUACCAACAGAAUAAGCACCGGCUAACUUCGUG
RNAcentral lists this ribosomal RNA (484 nucleotides) under uncultured bacterium. RNAcentral's name for it is "partial 16S ribosomal RNA". It matches the Rfam family "Bacterial small subunit ribosomal RNA", at positions 30 to 507 of the family's 1533-position model. The record is from RNAcentral.